GACGAACGCUGGCGGCGUGCUUAACACAUGCAAGUCGUACGGUAAGGCCCUUUCGGGGGUACACGAGUGGCGAACGGGUGAGUAACACGUGAGUAACCUGCCCACAACUUUGGGAUAACGCUAGGAAACUGGUGCUAAUACUGGAUAUGUGCUCCUGCUGCAUGGUGGGGGUUGGAAAGCUCCGGCGGUUGUGGAUGGACUCGCGGCCUAUCAGCUUGUUGGUGGGGUAGUGGCCUACCAAGGCGGCGACGGGUAGCCGGCCUGAGAGGGUGACCGGUCACAUUGGGACUGAGAUACGGCCCAGACUCCUACGGGAGGCAGCAGUGGGGAAUAUUGCACAAUGGGCGCAAGCCUGAUGCAGCAACGCCGCGUGCGGGAUGACGGCCUUCGGGUUGUAAACCGCUUUCAGCAGGGACGAAGCUUUUUGUGACGGUACCUGCAGAAGAAGCACCGGCUAACUACGUG
RNAcentral lists this ribosomal RNA (465 nucleotides) under uncultured bacterium. RNAcentral's name for it is "partial 16S ribosomal RNA". It matches the Rfam family "Bacterial small subunit ribosomal RNA", at positions 28 to 507 of the family's 1533-position model. The record is from RNAcentral.